This 253-nucleotide ribosomal RNA is filed under the name uncultured bacterium. RNAcentral's name for it is "partial 16S ribosomal RNA". It matches the Rfam family "Bacterial small subunit ribosomal RNA", at positions 524 to 776 of the family's 1533-position model. The record is from RNAcentral.
UACGUAGGUGGCAAGCGUUGUCCGGAAUUACUGGGCGUAAAGCGUGCGCAGGCGGUUUCGUAAGUCUGUCGUGAAAUCCCCGGGCUUAACCUGGGAAUGGCGAUGGAGACUGCGAGGCUAGAGUUUGGCAGAGGGGGGUAGAAUUCCACGUGUAGCAGUGAAAUGCGUAGAGAUGUGGAGGAACACCGAUGGCGAAGGCAGCCCCCUGGGUCAAAACUGACGCUCAUGCACGAAAGCGUGGGGAGCAAACAGG